This 253-nucleotide ribosomal RNA is filed under the name uncultured bacterium. RNAcentral describes it as "partial 16S ribosomal RNA". It matches the Rfam family "Bacterial small subunit ribosomal RNA", at positions 524 to 776 of the family's 1533-position model. The record is from RNAcentral.
UACGGGGGGGGCAAGCGUUGUUCGGAAUUACUGGGCGUAAAGGGCUCGUAGGUGGCCAACUCAGUCGGACGUGAAAUCCCCGAGCUCAACUCGGGAACUGCGUCCGAUACUGGUUGGCUUGAAUCCGGGAGAGGGAUGCGGAAUUCCAGGUGUAGCGGUGAAAUGCGUAGAUAUCUGGAGGAACACCGGUGGCGAAGGCGGCAUCCUGGACCGGCAUUGACGCUGAGGCGCGAAAGCCAGGGGAGCAAACGGG